This 447-nucleotide ribosomal RNA is filed under the name uncultured bacterium. RNAcentral's name for it is "bacterial SSU rRNA". It matches the Rfam family "Bacterial small subunit ribosomal RNA", at positions 355 to 825 of the family's 1533-position model. The record is from RNAcentral.
UCGGGAAUUUUGGGCAAUGGGCGAAAGCCUGACCCAGCAACGCCGCGUGAAGGAUGAAGUAUUUCGGUAUGUAAACUUCGAAAGAAUAGGAAGAAUAAAUGACGGUACUAUUUAUAAGGUUCGGCUAACUACGUGCCAGCAGCCGCGGUAAUACGUAGGGACCAAGCGUUGUUCGGAUUUACUGGGCGUAAAGGGCGCGUAGGCGGCAAUUCAAGUCAUCUGUGAAAUCUCCGGGCUUAACUCGGAACGGUCAGAUGAUACUGCUUUGCUAGAGUGCAGAAGGGGCAAUCGGAAUUCUUGGUGUAGCGGUGAAAUGCGUAGAUAUCAAGAGGAACACCUGAGGUGAAGACGGGUUGCUGGGCUGACACUGACGCUGAGGCGCGAAAGCCAGGGGAGCAAACGGGAUUAGAUACCCGAGUAGUCCCUGAGCGGGCUGGCAAGGCGCAU